CGGACGGGUGAGUAAUGCCUGGGAAAUUGCCCUGAUGUGGGGGAUAACCAUUGGAAACGAUGGCUAAUACCGCAUAACGCCUUCGGGCCAAAGAGGGGGACCUUCGGGCCUCUCGCGUCAGGAUAUGCCCAGGUGGGAUUAGCUAGUUGGUGAGGUAAAGGCUCACCAAGGCGACGAUCCCUAGCUGGUCUGAGAGGAUGAUCAGCCACACUGGAACUGAGACACGGUCCAGACUCCUACGGGAGGCAGCAGUGGGGAAUAUUGCACAAUGGGCGCAAGCCUGAUGCAGCCAUGCCGCGUGUAUGAAGAAGGCCUUCGGGUUGUAAAGUACUUUCAGCAGUGAGGAAGGGUGUGAAGUUAAUAGCUUCAUAUCUUGACGUUAGCUGCAGAAGAAGCACCGGCUAACUCCGUGCCAGCAGCCGCGGUAAUACGGAGGGUGCGAGCGUUAAUCGGAAUUACUGGGCGUAAAGCGCAUGCAGGUGGUUUGUUAAGUCAGAUGUGAAAGCCCGGGGCUCAACCUCGGAACCGCAUUUGAAACUGGCAGGCUAGAGUACUGUAGAGGGGGGUAGAAUUUCAGGUGUAGCGGUGAAAUGCGUAGAGAUCUGAAGGAAUACCAGUGGCGAAGGCGGCCCCCUGGACAGAUACUGACACUCAGAUGCGAAAGCGUGGGGAGCAAACAGGAUUAGAUACCCUGGUAGUCCACGCCGUAAACGAUGUCUACUUGGAGGUUGUGGCCUUGAGCCGUGGCUUUCGGAGCUAACGCGUUAAGUAGACCGCCUGGGGAGUACGGUCGCAAGAUUAAAACUCAAAUGAAUUGACGGGGGCCCGCACAAGCGGUGGAGCAUGUGGUUUAAUUCGAUGCAACGCGAAGAACCUUACCUACUCUUGACAUCCAUAGAACUUAGCAGAGAUGCUUUGGUGCCUUCGGGAACUAUGAGACAGGUGCUGCAUGGCUGUCGUCAGCUCGUGUUGUGAAAUGUUGGGUUAAGUCCCGCAACGAGCGCAACCCUUAUCCUUGUUUGCCAGCACGUAAUGGUGGGAACUCCAGGGAGACUGCCGGUGAUAAACCGGAGGAAGGUGGGGACGACGUCAA
This 1093-nucleotide ribosomal RNA is filed under the name Vibrio penaeicida. Its description in RNAcentral is "bacterial SSU rRNA". It matches the Rfam family "Bacterial small subunit ribosomal RNA", at positions 99 to 1188 of the family's 1533-position model. RNAcentral also lists the same sequence under 1 other name. The record is from RNAcentral. Lineage: Bacteria; Pseudomonadati; Pseudomonadota; Gammaproteobacteria; Vibrionales; Vibrionaceae.